Asparagus officinalis (garden asparagus) is the source of this 2008-nucleotide long non-coding RNA. RefSeq lists it as uncharacterized. The transcript is spliced from 6 exons. The record is from RefSeq and is a predicted model, not a curated record. NCBI's taxonomy places the organism in Eukaryota, Viridiplantae, Streptophyta, Magnoliopsida, Asparagales, Asparagaceae.
UGGCGGGCGGAGGCGGGAAGUUCUCUGGAAGCAGAAAAUCUGGAGGCGAUGGCCACGAGGCUCGAGCAGAAGUCCCGCAAAGUCGAGACCUUGCUCAAACAGUUGAGCUCUAUGGAUUCCAAAACCCUAAUUCGAAUAGAUCAUCCUUACCUCUAACGAAUAUUGUUUUUUUCCUUUUUUCGUUAGAUUGAAGCCGGUGGAAGCUCUGAAGACGGCGCUUGAAGGAUCACGGACGAGCAUCAAGGAUGAGAGGUGUAAGUCGGCGAAUUGGAUUGUGGUGCAUCGGGCGAUGAUGGCGAUAAAGGAUGUGGAUGGGAUGUUCUCGACCUUGGAUCCAGAGUACUAUGACAUUCUCAUGAACUUUAGGUUUGGCAGACCAACCAACUUGUUUCACAUGAUGUUGAGGUGGAUUCUACAGGACAGGUUGCUACUGCUGAUGAUUGGGUGGAAGAGGAGGAGGAUCAGCCUGCUGGAGUUGAUGGUGAUCAGCAUAGUCUUCAAUGUAACUCUGCAUGUACUUUUGUUUUGAGCUCUCUUGUUUGGAUAUUUGCUCAGGUCUAGUUGCAUACUUAAUCCUUCUUCUUGUGUGGCUGUAUAUUUUUUCCUUAAUUUUUUCUGGUUGUUUGUUCAUUUCUUUUUAUAUUUAAAAAAGGAAAAGAAAACCACUUGUACCUUCCAUGUGCCUACAUGUUUUGAGAUAGUCCUCUGCAUAAUAUUGUUGAAUGGUCUAUUGGAUUGCUUAUUUCUUUGCUAGUCUACUGGUUUUUGACGUCUAUAUAUUAUAUUCAUGACAUUGACUUGUUGAUAAAUAGUUUGCUGUGGUAUCACUUCAGUUCACUUCCUAUUCACGUGCACACUAUCAAUCUUCCUUAUGACCCCGUAUUUGUAAAUUCUUAUUUUGAUUUUGAUUUUGUUUUACAUUAUGAUUGAUUUCUUGAUAUGAUUACACAUCUAGCAGAUGUGGUCGAGGAUGAUUUUGCAGACCACCUCUACGCACUCUAUACCGUCUGGACACUCGACGGGUUAGUAUCAUUUAAUGUAUUGAUAUUAUACUGAUUUCAUAUUAUUUUAUCUUAGUAGAAUUCUCUCUGAUCCUCCUGAGGGAAUAAUUUGGUUGUAGUUUUAUAUUUAACAUGCAAACUUUGCAGGACACGGUACUGGAGUUGGAGUUUCAAGGCAUCAAUAAGUUCACUAUGCUUCAGAGAUGGCCUGUUCGAACCACUUUUGACUGGACAAUGUGUUCUCAAUGCCUUUUUCCCCUCUGUGCUUGGAGGAAUUUGUGCUAUACCUGGAGCUUUUGGUUGUGGUAAAACAGUCAUCAGUCGGGCACUUUCAAAGGUAACAUUUUCAUUUUUCAUUUUGAUAACCUUCUCGGUACUGAAAAUAUUACUUUUCCCCCCUUGUACAUGUUUUGCACUAAUUUUCUUCUUUCUUCUAGUACUCUAAUUCCAGCACAGUGAUCCAUGUGGGCUGUGGAGAAAGAGGAAAUGAAAUGGUUGAGAAUCAAAUGAUAAAGAUGGGAGCAGAUACCAUUCAACUUGAUGGAACUCGAUCAAUGACAAAUGAGGAAAUCUGUACAAAAGUUCUCAAAGUCAAAUCAGGCUACAUUAAGGGCUAUGGUUUUGGUUCUAGACCACCACCAUUAAGGUUCUUCCGUUCUUCGAUGAGUGAAAUGUCUGAAAAGAAUAAAGAGUUGCAAGAACAGCUUCAAGAGACCCAACAACUUGUAGGAACUCAACAAUAAAAGAUCGAUGCGCAAAAUGAGGUAAUCCAAAGAUUGGAGGAGCAAGCCAAAAAGUUUGAGGAGUUUAUGGCUAAUUUUUCCAGGCAACAUCAAUCAACUUAGUAUUCUUAGUGAACUUAAACUUGGAGAAAUGUUUCUUUGAUCGUGUUGUAUUUGUUAUUGUUUUAGACUAGCACUGUUACUUAUGGUAGAAACUUGUUUUAUUUAUUUUAAUUGUUUUGAUGUGCUGUGGUGAUAAUUGAUGACAAUUAUUUAUAUUUUGAG